Molecule: ribosomal RNA, 301 nt
Filed under: uncultured bacterium
Lineage: Bacteria
Description: partial 16S ribosomal RNA
Rfam family: Bacterial small subunit ribosomal RNA
Source: RNAcentral
CAGCCGCCGCGGGAAUACGUAGGGUGCAAGCGUUAAUCGGAAUUACUGGGCGUAAAGCGUGCGUAGGCGGUUUGUUAAGUCUGUUGUGAAAUCCCCGGGCUCAACCUGGGAAUGGCAAUGGAUACUGGCAAGCUAGAGUGUGUCAGAGGAUUGUGGAAUUCCCGGUGUAGCGGUGAAAUGCGUAGAGAUCGGGAGGAACAUCAGUGGCGAAGGCGGCCAUCUGGGACAACACUGACGCUGAGGCACGAAAGCGUGGGGAGCAAACAGGAUUAGAUACCCCGGUAGUCCCUGUCUCUUAUAC